This 84-nucleotide transfer RNA is filed under the name Aminivibrio pyruvatiphilus. RNAcentral describes it as "tRNA-Leu". It matches the Rfam family "tRNA". From Rfam's summary of the family: Transfer RNA (tRNA) molecules are approximately 80 nucleotides in length. Their secondary structure includes four short double-helical elements and three loops (D, anti-codon, and T loops). The record is from RNAcentral. Lineage: Bacteria; Thermotogati; Synergistota; Synergistia; Synergistales; Aminobacteriaceae. RNAcentral also lists the same sequence under 5 other names.
GCGAGAGUGGUGGAACGGCAGACACGUCAGACUUAGGAUCUGAUGCCUCAGGGCGUGGGGGUUCGAGUCCCCCCUCUCGCACCA